UCUAUCAUUUUGAAUCAACCAUGUCUGGAACUCCUCGCGAAACGAUGAUGUGCGGAUCCGCUGAUCGUUGAUCUCCUCCACUAACUCCGUUGUUUCUUGGACUUCAUUGCCUGCCAUAGACUUGUUUCAUUCAACAACGAGGUGGUGGAGGACAUCAAAGAUCAAUUGCAGGAUCCAACUGCUUUGCUGAGAAUGAGAAUGCAUAUUCACCACUGCUUCGUGCGAGUCAGUAAUGCAAAAUCCACUAACAAUAUCUUUGCUUCAAUCAUAUGAAAUGAUGCUUUUAUUCUCUGGUUAAUUGCAGGAUCCAAUUCUUGCGGAUGCAUUUUCAUGACUACUUCGUGCGAAUCAUAUGGAAGCAUAAUGGUUGCGAUGGAUCAGUGUUCAUCAACUCUACAGCGAACAAUACUGCAGAAAAAGCGUCAUCGAUUUGAUGUUAUUGAUGAUCUGAAGGUAGAGAAGAAUUGUUUCUUGUGCGAACAAUACGCAACAAGAAAUGUCAUCUCUGAGAGGAAACAAGACAUUCCAACGGAGCUUGCAGAAAAGCUGUAGCAAAUUGGGUUCGGGCGUCCUAUGUGACUCCGUAUUGGGGCAGAAUGCAAUCGGCCAAGAAAGAAAGAAUGCGAUGGAUCAGUGUUGAUCAAUUUUAUGUUAUUGAUGAUGUGAAGGUGAGAAGAAUUGUUUCUUGUGCGAACAAUACUGCAACAAGAAAUGUCGUCGCUAAGGUUGUGGUCUGGAGAAGUCUCUCAAAGCUGAUGUUCUUUAAUAUUCUGGUUGUGUGUGCAUAUUGGGUCAGACAAGUUAUCUUUCGUGGAGCCCAUUUUGUCCAGGGAUGAAGUAGUGAAGGCCGUUGUAAGCACCGUGCCAGGGGAGAUUCGAACCCUUGCCAUGGUGGACCAAAUGUUUGAAGGGCUAAUUAAGCACCAGAUUGGCAAUGAAGGAUCGGUUGUAGAUAAUUUCUUAGUACAAGCUACAAAUGUAUUUGUGUGA
Long non-coding RNA from Cryptomeria japonica (Japanese cedar), 990 nucleotides. RefSeq lists it as uncharacterized. The record is from RefSeq and is a predicted model, not a curated record. Lineage: Eukaryota; Viridiplantae; Streptophyta; Pinopsida; Cupressales; Cupressaceae. The transcript has 4 exons.